CCUCGGGGAGGCAGCAGGUGGAGGGAAUAUUCCACAAAUGGGGCGAAAGCCUGUAUGGCAGCGACGCCGCGCUGGGCGAAGAAGGUUUUCGGAUCGUAAAGCCCUUUUCUAUGUGACGAGAAAGGACGGUAGCAUAGGAAUAAGUGUCGGCUAACUACGUGCCAGCAGCCGCGGUAAAACGUAGGACGCGAAUGUUAUCCGGAGUUACUGGGCGUAAAGCGCGAGCAGGCGGUUUAGUAAGUUACCUAUGAAAGCUCUCGGCUAAACUGGGAGAGGAUAGGUGAUACUGCUAGACUAGAGUGAGAAAGAGGAAGGUAGAAUUCCGGGUGUAGUGNUGAAAUGCGUAGAUAUCCGGAGGAAUACCAGUGGCGAAGGCGGUCU
This 381-nucleotide ribosomal RNA is filed under the name uncultured bacterium. RNAcentral's name for it is "bacterial SSU rRNA". It matches the Rfam family "Bacterial small subunit ribosomal RNA", at positions 338 to 727 of the family's 1533-position model. The record is from RNAcentral.